RNAcentral lists this ribosomal RNA (323 nucleotides) under uncultured eukaryote. RNAcentral's name for it is "partial 18S ribosomal RNA". It matches the Rfam family "Eukaryotic small subunit ribosomal RNA", at positions 1470 to 1796 of the family's 1831-position model. The record is from RNAcentral.
CCCUUAGAUGUCCUGGGCCGCACGCGCGCUACACUGACGGAGCCAGCGAGCUUACCCCUUUGCCGAAAGGCAUGGGAAAUCUUUUGAAUCUCCGUCGUGCUGGGGAUAGAUCAUUGCAAUUAUUGAUCUUGAACGAGGAAUUCCUAGUAAGCACAAGUCAUCAGCUUGUGUUGAUUACGUCCCUGCCCUUUGUACACACCGCCCGUCGCUCCUACCGAUUGAAUGUUCCGGUGAGCUCUUCGGACUGCGCGGUCUGCAGUUUCUGCGUUCCGUGCGGAAAGUUGCGCAAACCUUAACAUUUAGAGGAAGGAGAAGUCGUAACA